This is a long non-coding RNA of Ahaetulla prasina, 7624 nucleotides long. RefSeq lists it as uncharacterized. NCBI's taxonomy places the organism in Eukaryota, Metazoa, Chordata, Lepidosauria, Squamata, Colubridae. The transcript has 3 exons. The record is from RefSeq and is a predicted model, not a curated record.
UGAACGCCGAGUCAAGCCCCACUUAAGAGAAAGUCAGAAUGGGCGAAAGGAAAAAAGGAGAGGCUUGCUAAGAAGCGGCCUGGGCCGCCAUGCCAGAAGCCGCUGGGCCGGGUGGUGAGGAGACAUUAUAUUAUUGCACUCUAUAUUCAGGAGCUGCACAUUUGAUAAGAACCAAACCUUCUGACCAACUCUGACAGGCUCUUCUGAAAACACAGGUGACCAUGAUCGCAUUUGGUAACGCCACAGAUACCACCGGCCAUGGUAGCUCAGGCUGGUAAGAAGCCUGUUAUUAGAACACAGCAGCCUGCAAUUACUGCAGGUUCAAGCCCGGCCCAAGGUUGACUCAGCCUUCCAUCCUUUAUAAGGUAGGUAAAAUGAGGACCUAGAUUGUUGGGGGGGCAAUAAGUUGACUUUGUAAAUAUACAAAUAGAAUGAGACUAUUGCCUUAUACACUGUAAGCCGCCCUGGGUCUUUGGAGAAGGGCGGGAUAUAAAUGUAAAUAAAAAAAAUAAAAAUAAAAAUAAAAAUGUGAACAGGCUGGACAUAUUGCAGCCCAUAUUGGCUGCAGUAUAUGUAAGCAUAAACUGUAGCAGGUGUACAUGGUAAUUUUCAGAACACAUUCAGCACGAUUUGAGCUUAUACCCAGAGCUUACUUGUUCAUAUUCAUAGUCUGAUAUGAUACUCGGUAAGAAGGAUUAUAUCCUUCUCCAUGGAAAUGUAUGCACAGAUGCUGAGCUUCAGGCUGGGAAGGGAAGGAGAGAGGGAGGGAGGGAGAGAAAAGCACCAGCCUUCUCUUGCUGAUAACAAUCAGUCCAUGGCAAGGUGGUCAUGACAAUCAUUACUAUGCAGCUAGAAUGUGCUGGCUUUCAUUGUGGCAUUGCCAGCAAGACUCUCCCUAGCCAUGAGUUAGUAAUGGGAGGCCAGUACUCUCCACUACAAAAUCUGGGCUAAAUCCAGGGUGCACUGACAGUUUUAUAUGACUGUCUCAGUACAGAGCUAUCAUAGAACACUUGCUAGGUAGCAUAUCCCAUAAGUAAUAAGGACAAUAGAUCUUGUGUCAGAGUAUAAAACAGAGUGAGAACAGUUCAUAAGAAAGUAAACGAAAUGAGUAACUUUUAAGUGCAGGGCCAAAUCAGUUCCUGAAAGGCAUACAUUUUUAAAACUGCCCUUAUACAACCAGCAAAACUCCUAAAUGACCACUAUUGAGGUGUAAUUGAGUAAACCCUUAAUAUUUAAACAAGUAUUACCUAUCUGUUGUGGUUUACUAAUUUAGCUGGGACAUUUUAUAUAUAUAUAUAUAUAUUAAUUGCAGAUAGUCCUCGAUUUACAACCAUUCAUUUGGUGACUGGUCAAAGUUACAACGGCCCUGAAAAAAGUGACUUAUGAGCAGUUUUCACACCUAUGACCACUGCAGUAUCCCCAUGGUCAUGUGAUCAAAAUUUGGCACUCAACAACUGACAUGUAUUUAUGAGAGCUACACUUUCCUGAGCUCAUGUAUUCCCCAUCUUCCCAGCUGUUUUCCAAAGAGCAAAGUCAAUGGGGAAAUCCAGAUUCAUUUAACAACCGCAUGAUUCACUUAACAACUGCAGUGAUUCACUGAACAACUGUGGCCAAAGAGGAAGUAAGAUGUGACACAAUUCGCUUAAGCACUAUCUUGCUUAGCAAUAGAAAUUUUGGGUUCCAAUGUGGUCAUAAGUCAAGGACUAUCUGUAUACAUUCAUAACAGUGUAUCAGGAUAUAUUUUGAACAAGAGGGAACUUAAAUGGGGAGUAUCAGAAACAUUUCUGGGAACAUAACGUCUAGAAUUAUAACAGCAUAAAGAUUUCAUAGCUUAUGGCAUAUUUGAAGGACAUAAUAUCCUUCAAAUCCUUCAGGUAGACAUGGGUUAUGCCAGUAAUGCCAACCUGAAUCCUGGCAAGUCCCAGUAUUUCUUUGCCAGCAUAAACAUCUAGGCAUGUUGGUUGGGAAGUCUGAAAGAUACCAAAUUAGUGACUGCUCUCAUCCGGGUAUAGGGAUGACAAUUAGAACUGGGUGCUGAACCUGAUUAUAAAGCAAAAGUUGUUGUAAAUUGGAAUGAAGAACUGUCUUUGCCACCCAUACUUUGAGUUGUUUGGGGUGGUUUUUUUUUAAUGAAUAGUAAGGCCUUGAUGGCCCAGGAGUUUUAUAGGGCAAAAUCAAAGUGGUAUUAUAUUAAUAUGGUUUUAAUCUCAAUUAAUUUUUGGUUGUGCUGUAUAUUUUUAUAGAUCUCCAUUCAUUUUAUAUUGCCUUUUUUAGAUGAUUGUUAGCAAGUUGUGAAAAAGAACUAUUAAAUGCAUAUGGUGGUAAUUAUCUAAUAAGUGAGCCUUUGACCUAUGAUCCAUUUUCAAAUAGUUUUAAGUGGACAAGCUAGUCUCCCUUUUUCUUUUUCCUUUACUUCCUUAGCAACUAAAUUGAAAAAGGGUUCUGACUAACUCAAAAGCUUGCUACUUUGAAAUAUUUCCAAUGAAAAGGCAUGAAAUUACGAUCACACAAUCAGACUCAUGUGAAGCAGAUAAUUCCAAAUCUCCGUUCCAUGUGAAUUUCAUGCCAGCUGCACCCUCAACAUCUUGGCAGCAGAAUGGAUUAUUAUCACAAUUUUUUUUUGUUGAAAUGAUAACUGAUGGACAUAUGAUAGGAAGAAUAGCUUUCACUCCCAUAGACAGCAGGAAAACCAGCCAUAUUAACUGACCUUAGGUACGACUUCCUAAGAUGGAAGGAGAAAGAGAGAAAGAACCAGUUAUUUAAAAUCUGAACAAGGAAUAAACUGUUAUUUUUUUAAAAAGGAAAAUCCUCCUAAUUACUUUGAAAACAUAUGGGCAUAAAUGCUGGAUGAUUAGGGAGGGAAGAUUUGAAAAAGCAGACAAGGAAAAAAAUGUUGGUGAUGCAUAUGUUCCUAAUGUAAAAGAAAUCACAUGAAGAGUUGAAUGCUUAGGAAGAAUGGAUGGCUUUCAGAUCAGUGGUAUACUCAUAGCUACAGAAAAAUGGAGUUUGAACGGGCCUUAUUAGGCCAGGCUCCUGAACCCAAGAUACAGUUCCUUGGUACAAGUGAAAGAUUCCACCCUCUAUCUAUGUAUCUUGUUCUACUGUUGGCAUGUUUAAGCUUAAGCAAAGCAAAGCUAGAGUAGCAACGAACUGCAGGGUUUUAUGUUUUAUUAUGUCUCAAUUUAACCUAUUCUCUGUGAAAAAAGAUAGAUCAUUCAAUACUUUUAGUUUUUGAUGCCUUCUCCCCCUUUUUUCCCUGAGAGAUUUAUUUAUUCUUUAUUCAAUCCAGCAGGAGACCUUUAAUACAAAAACACUAUGCCGCUAUUUUAUACUUCUUUGUUUUUCUGGUCAUCAAACAGAAUUAAGCCUUUUCUCAUUGGAUGUUUGGACAAUCUGCUCUAUGAUGGAGAUCCCUUUGAAAUGAUCUGGAUGGAAUUAAUGAGGGGAAAUUUUAAAGCUUUUCUUAAGACAAUUUCAGUUAUAUUGAAGCAUGCAUACAGAUCUAGAUAUAUGAUUCUUGACCAAAAAAUGUCUUGCUAUAGGAGUAAUUAUAUAUUUUGACAAAGUUUGUAUUGUUCAAAUACUUUUGUUUGGGAUAUGUUGACCUUUAAGUAAGAAAUCACCUAAUUUAUCUUCUUUGUCCUUUUUUAAAGCUCAUUAUUUUAUGGAAUAAAAGUUACAUUGUUGUUGAACGUGUAAUAAUAUUUCAUCACAACCAUAAACGAGAAAUUAUUAUAUGCUUGACACCUUUAACAAAUAUUGGCUAUGGAUUUUCUUAUCGAAAGAUAUGAGAAAUAAUUAUAUGUAAUCAUUUAAAAAAAGCUAUCUAAAGAAGGGGUUCCCAACCCCUGGGCCCCAGCCCAAUACUAGGCCCUGGCCUUUUGGAACUGGGCUGUACGAGCAGUGGGUGAGCAUGUGCGUACAUGCAAAGCUCCCCUCGCAUGAGUGGCAGCUGCUUAAAACUCCCUCCUGUCACUCGCAUGGAACUAUCCCCUCUACCCCCCUGCUGGCCGCCAAGCCAGAAAGAUUGGGGACCGCUUAUCUAAAGACUCAUAUUUUCAUUGUCAAGCAUAGUAACACAUAAAAGUCACAAAUAUAGUCACUGACAUGUCUGUGUUUUAAAAAGUUGUAUGUUUCCUGAUUUUAGUGGUAUAAGCAUGAAUAGUUUUGGGAAGUGAACAAUGUAAGUAAACAAUGGAGAAAUGCCUGAUGCUGAAGGUAGAUUAGGAAUCAUUUGGCCAAAGGUCUGAUUUUCUAAAGGUUUUCUUGAAGCUAUUUAGGGAUUUGGAUGGUAAAAAUAGUCCCAGUGGGGAUGGUUUAAUGGACAGAGUUGAAGUGAGGCGGUUAAAGGUGCGUUAUAAAUGCAAUUGGGUGUAAUUGCAAAUACUACACUUACUCUAUUGUUAGUAAAAAGAGAAACCUCCAUUUCUGGUAUAAAUUUCAUCAGCUUUAAAUUUAUUCCAGUAAAUUAUAUAUUAUUGAAGUAUAUAAAAAAAGAAGCCCUCAUAUUUAAAUCUAGUGGCAGAAAAUUAUCUCCAAACAACAUAUGAUGUUUUAUGAAUCAAACUCUGAAGAAGGAAAACCCAUGAGAUGAGAAUUCAGAAAGACAGCAAAAGAAAGCUGAUUUGCUAUGAAAGCUGAACAACAAUAUUUUAUUCAACCAGUGAGAAAAUAAAAGUGCAAGUUAUAUCAGCAUGAAUGCUCCUCAAAAAAAAAAAAACACGUUCCCAUUGCAUGUUUUAUAAUAAUAAUAAAUACAGCCACAGAGAUCCUUACCAAUCCACUUAAAAAGCAAGAUAGAACUUAUCAUGAAACAAGGUAACAAGGCCUCAGAAUUGAAAUGCAUGGCUUAUGUGUGUGUGUGUGUGUGUGUGUGUGUGUGUGUGUGUGUAUGUAGGUCUUUGGUUAUUCGGGUUUUCUCCCGCGUAAAAUUGGAAGUGUCUUGGCGACGUUUCGACGAAGUCUCAUUCGUCAUCUUCAGGCUUCUGCUCCCAGAAGCACGAACCUGCUUCUGGGAGCAGAAGAACCUUAUAUAUAUUAUAACUUUACAUUUGAAAAAAUCAGACUAAAUGAAUUCUGUGUAAAGUUUGAAGCUUCAUGGGUCAAUCAGAGGAACUAUAUAAACAGGAGAAGAGUCUUUGUGCCUUAGCUCCAACCCUAUGGAACAUCAGGCCCCUCAAGGUGAGAUCCUCAUCCACCCUGUUGGCCUUCUGAAAGGGCCCAAAAACCUGGCUCUGCCAACUAGCUUUUAGAGCCCAAUGGGAGCAUCCAACUCUGGAAGUGGUUAGGAGAUUAGGAGAAGAUCCCCUUUAUACAUGGACCCUUUUAACCAGAUUUUUUUUAGUCAACUUUUAAUUUUUUAAAGUUUUAAUUUUAAUGCUAAAUGUUUAAACAUCUUUUUAUAGUGCCCAGAGUCACUUGAUAGUAAGAUAGGUGGCAUAUAAAUUUAAUAAAUUCAAUAAUUCAUUCAUUCAAUCAAUCAAUCAAUCAAUAUUCUGCAGGAAAUUCCUAGAACAGGACUAAAACAAAGAUUUUUUUUCUCUCCUCUUCCUUAAAUGUUUACAGAUAAUAACUACCAAGAUGUAGUUCUGCUGUAUCUUUUCCAGGUAAAUUCUUCUCUUCUUUUCUUAAAGGGUAUCAUAUUCCUGAUUAGUACUAGAUCUCAGCAUGGUGCUCAUGCAGGGGUGGGCUUCAAAAAUUUUAGCAAGGGCUUCUCUGCUCAGUUUCUGGGUGGGCAAGGCCAUGGUGGGCAUAGCCUAGUUGGCCUCCUGCACCACGGUGGGUGUGGGUGUGUUUUUGCCCUCCCCAGGCUCUGGAGACUUUCCUCGAGCCUCCGAGAGGACGAAAAUGGCCACCCCAGACUCCUUUCCAGCCUUCCUGAAUGUCCAGUAGGCCCAUUUUUCACUCUCCCCAAGAUUCCACACGCGCCCUGCACUUACCUGCAUCCAAAAUGGGCCGCAUGGGGACUCCUGGGAGGGGCGGGGCAGGGUGGGAGGGGCCAGCCAGGAAUGGGAUUUUGGGGUUCUCCAAACUGCACAGAGUCUUAGCUAGAGGUUCUCCCAAACCCCUGCAAACCCCCAGCAGCCGACCCCUGUGUUCAUGACAUUCUGUUCAUCAUUCUGUGCUCAUAUCAUCUAAAUAAGAUUCAAAGCCCCAAAUAAAGCAAGUGGCUCAAGUUCGCUCUAUAUGACAGAGCAGAAAAUUGAUCUUUUUGAAGUCCAGAAUUAUAUGUCCUGGAAUCUGCUAGGCUAAUAUCCUGUCUACUUUCCUGAAAAUAGCUAUUGUAUUCUCCAAGUUGCUUGUGAUAAAUAGGAAUUGCCCUACGUGACCAGUCAGAGCUGCUUUUGUAAGUGAAAAGCUGCUUAAUGAUUCAGAUAUAGACCACUUGGUUGUGAUGUGUUACUUAGGUAGGUAACUGUGAACACAACAGCUACUAAAACUUAUUUUCAUAGCUGGGUAGCUUUCUUAGCAUUAGGUCUGAGACUAUUUUAACUUCAAGCACCUCUAAAGAAAAAAAUUAGAUAUCUACGUUUGACAUCUGACCUAAAUUCAUGGUCAUACAGACUCUGAUCAGGUUCCAGUUGGUUGUCUGGAACUGUUGACUGCUACCAACAGCUAUAAUAAAAAGUGGCUCUAAAUAAAUAUCUCUUAAGCUAACAGAAAUUGAAAUCUUGUGUACUCAUGUGAACUACUGAUUCCUGCUUCUCUUCUCCUGGUAUUUUUUACCCUCCAAGGAAAUGGAAAUGGGUUCAAAACAAGACUAUAUGUAACUUGUCAUACAUAUAUCUUUCCUUUAUAGACCAAUUGUUACAUGCUCAGGUGCCAAGCUAAUGUUAACAGGUUGAACAGCUCAUCACAACCUGCAGUUAAGAUAAUUAGAUACUGGGACGACUUCCGGUGUCCAGAGGCAACGGUCGUCUGGAGGCUUCUCCUGCCCCCAGCGCCCGAAUCCGGCCGCCGCCGAGGCCCCUAGGGGCCAGGUGUUCCGAAAAGGACACCUGCCGCACGGACGGCUCGCCAGGGGUCUCCCAGCCGACAUACAGGACUGGGGGGACCGAUGCUGGCGCGUCCUAGGCUCGGCGGGGUUUGGAGGCCACGGGCCACGGCCAUUAUUAUGGUCGUCGUCUGGGCCGCUGUGCCCGGUGACACCGGGGCUUUGGAUUUAUAACUGCAGCAGCCUGGUGGUGAACAGGGAACGGAGAAGAAUUGAGGAAUGGAGAAGGGAAGGGGAUAUCGGUAAACGCGAGUGGAGUGCUCCGGAGUGCGGGGGGGUUUUUCUCCCCUGCGGCUGGAAGGAGCACGAGUCAUUCUGGAGAGAGGAGAACUUAAAAUAAGAAGAUUACUGGUUUUGUGGAGCUCUGGAGAGAAGAGGUGAUGGAGAAAUUUAGGAGGGAGGGUUUGAGCCGCCUCCCCCCCCUGGGGAACAGUGGUGGCGCCCAGCUUCCGCCUUCACUAUGAGAAUCUUGAUGACAUCACUUCCCUUCGGCUUCCUGGUUGACUAACUGUACUCUGGACUCGUUGCUCCUGUGAGUGCCCCCUGGUGGAUCCGGAGGAAAUUACAAGGAUACUGUGCUUGCCUGAGGAUUUUGAAUUUUUUUUUUCUAAAUGGCAAAGGUCAGAGACC